Molecule: ribosomal RNA, 1340 nt
Filed under: uncultured bacterium
Lineage: Bacteria
Description: bacterial SSU rRNA
Rfam family: Bacterial small subunit ribosomal RNA
Source: RNAcentral
GACGAACGCUGGCGGCGCGCCUAACACAUGCAAGUCGAACGAGCGAGAGAGAGUUUACUUUUUCGAGCGAGUGGCGAACGGGUGAGUAACGCGUGAGGAACCUGCCUCAAAGAGGGGGGACAACAGUUGGAAACGACUGCUAAUACCGCAUAAGCCCACGACCCGGCAUCGGGUAGAGGGAAAAGGAGCAAUCCGCUUUGAGAUGGCCUCGCGUCCGAUUAGCUAGUUGGUGAGGUAAUGGCCCACCAAGGCGACGAUCGGUAGCCGGACUGAGAGGUUGAACGGCCACAUUGGGACUGAGACACGGCCCAGACUCCUACGGGAGGCAGCAGUGGGGAAUAUUGCACAAUGGGGGAAACCCUGAUGCAGCGACGCCGCGUGGAGGAAGAAGGUCUUCGGAUUGUAAACUCCUGUUGUUGAGGAAGAUAAUGACGGUACUCAACAAGGAAGUGACGGCUAACUACGUGCCAGCAGCCGCGGUAAAACGUAGGUCACAAGCGUUGUCCGGAAUUACUGGGUGUAAAGGGAGCGCAGGCGGGAGGACAAGUUGGAAGUGAAAUCCAUGGGCUCCACCCCAUGAACUGCUUUCAAAACUUUUUUUCUUGAGUAGUGCAGAGGUAGGCGGAAUUCCCGGUGUAGCGGUGGAAUGCGUAGAUAUCGGGAGGAACACCAGUGGCGAAGGCGGCCUACUGGGCACCAACUGACGCUGAGGCUCGAAAGUGUGGGUAGCAAACAGGAUUAGAUACCCCGGUAGUCCACACUCUAAACGAAGAUUACUAGGUGUUGGAGGAUUGACCCCUUCAGUGCCGCAGUUAACACAAUAAGUAAUCCACCUGGGGAGUGCGACCGCAAGGUUGAAACUCAAAGGAAUUGACGGGGGCCCGCACAAGCAGUGGAGUAUGUGGUUUAAUUUGACGCAACGCGAAGAACCUUACCAAGUCUUGACAUCCUGCGACGGGGCUGGAAACAGUGCUUUCCUUCGGGACGCAGAGACAGGUGGUGCAUGGUUGUCGUCAGCUCGUGUCGUGAGAUGUUGGGUUAAGUCCCGCAACGAGCGCAACCCUUAUGGUCAGUUAUUACGCAAGAGGACUCUGGCCAGACUGCCGUUGACAAAACGGAGGAAGGUGGGGAUGACGUCAAAUCAUCAUGCCCCCUAUGACUUGGGCUACACACGUACUACAAUGGCGUUAAACAAAGAGAAGCAAGACCGCGAGGUGGAGCAAAACUCAGAAACAACGUCCCAGUUCGGACUGCAGGCUGCAACUCGCCUGCACGAAGUCGGAAUUGCUAGUAAUCGCAGAUCAGCAUGCUGCGGUGAAUAAAAGGCCGGGCCUUGCACA